This 1146-nucleotide long non-coding RNA is filed under the name Nicotiana benthamiana. RNAcentral describes it as "long non-coding RNA (NBEN_LNC027135)". The record is from RNAcentral. Lineage: Eukaryota; Viridiplantae; Streptophyta; Magnoliopsida; Solanales; Solanaceae.
AAAAGGGUAGAAAUGUACAUGAGAAGGGAAUAAAAACAUGAUGAUUAAAGGAUAAGGGUAGGGUAGUAAUAACAGUAGGAUUACAAUGGUAUUUUGGAAAUGGAAAAUGGUCAGAAUUGACUAUAUUAAUGUGUUGAUAGUCAAGCACCAAUAAGACAAAAGCUUAUACAAUAGUUUAAUGCUAGUGGGUAACAAACCCUUAUAUCAUGCCUUGAUUUAGGGAAGAAAAUAACGAAAAGCCUUACUUAGAGGGAUUUAGUUGAAAAUAGGCAAAUUUUCUUUGGGUGAUUUGUCGAGUAAGUGAAGUUUUUCAAAGGAGGGUAGGUCUAGGGGGUUACUAUAAAUACAGAGAGUUGAAGAGUAAUUAGGGACUAGAUUUUGAACAUUAGAAAUUGAGUUCUUAGAAAGAAUUUUAACAUUAGAAGUUCAGUAUUAGGAGAGCUGAAAAUAUAGAACUUGAUUCUAGAGAUCAAAAUUUCAAAACAAAAGAAAUAGUCAGUCUUUGAGAGCUAAAAACUGAAAGUGAAGCUUUUCUCUUUACUGUUUAUUUCAGAUUGAUUUUCCUAGUUGUUCUGUUUAUUUUAGGUACUGUUGUAUUGGUUUGUUGCUUAAAUUAUAUUGGGUUCUGUUAAAGAAUGGACUGUUUUUUCCUACUGGGUUGUAACUGGUUUUGUUGCUACUAUUUGUUGUGAUACUCUGCUACUGCUGUUGCUGAAUUUUAGCCACUGCUUUGCUGCCGAUGAUCCUCAUCUCUCCUUGUUUGAAAUUCAAACUCUGGGUACAAACAGUCGAUGUACUGAUUCAAUGUACUUGAGACUCGAAGUAUGAAUAAGAAUGAAGCCUUAAAGCCUUGAAAUUCGUUUAGUUGCAUUUUCGUAUCUUAAGUUAGGUAUAUACAGUAGAUAGCUUCAUCUGUCAAAGAGAUGUAGUAGUUUGAUAUGUAGAACUGAUACCUAAUGUUGUAUUAGCGGAUAUACUGUACUGAAUGUUAGUUUAAAGAACCACUAAUGUAAGGGUAAGUUAACAAAUCGUUUAUUGAGACUCAUCAAAAUAGGCUGUAUUAGUUACCAUUUUCUUUUUUGCCCAUUGCAAAUCUCAAACGCAUGUAUAUAGUAUAAUAUAGUUGGGCUCAAGCUAGUGUAAGAC